GUCUCAUUUCAAGUGUAUGAGGGGUGGUCUAAGGCCAUACAGUUUUCUGUGGGUCUUAGGUUUUAUGAUCUACUAAUUUUUAGUUAGCUCUUUAGUCAAAUUCCUGAGAGGAACCUGAGGGGCAGUAGGUGGUGUCUGUCAAAUAUUUAAGAGGAACCUUACACCUGAGGGGGUUCGCUGUGAUCAAACACUCCUAGCAUUGUUCUAAAUGCUUUUUCCCCACCCACAGACCUCAGGUCCUGAUCUUUCCCAUUCUGCCUACUGAAUCUUAUCUUUUUCUAUCAUAAUUCUAAGUGGCACCCAGGGAUAGGCAGGAAGGCUUCCCAUUAAUUUAUGAGAGUUGAGAGGUGCUGGCAUGGCUCAGUCCUUUACCACCUGAUUUUGGCUCAGCUCAUCAUCCUAGGCCUUGUGGGUUUGAGCACCACAUUGGGUGUGUGCUCAAGCUCAGAGCCUGGAGCAGGCUUCAGAAUCUGACUGCCUGUCUCUCUGCCCCUCCCCUGCUCAUGCUCUGUCUCUGUCUCCCAAAAAAGAAAUACAUACUAUUAAAAAAAAAAAAAGACCUAUGAGAGUUGAGUGCAGGGUUUUCGACAAGGAGAGGUAGCAGAUCUCCUGUAGAGGAGUUGGGGAGGUUGAGGUCCAAGUAGCAUCCGUUUUCUGUGCUCAAGCAGAGUUUGUGGGCUUCUGUGGGAAGGCAGGUGCUGGAGUCCAGCUCCCACAGGUCCAGGGUUCCUGGAAGGAUCGAUGGUGUCAGCAAAAGGGAGUGAGAUAGCUCAAGUUUCUUUGUGAUCACCAGGCAGGCAUCUCUACUCUGAUUCUCUAGCUUUUUUUAUAGUGAAAGGUACAAGGAGAAGGAAGAGCAGGGUAUGUUAGUAAAUGAUUUCUCAUAAAUAAUUUUUUCAACACAAUUUUGCAGAUCAGGGAUUCUGCAGAAGUUACAAUUCUAAUCUUAGUCGUACUGAUUGUCAAAAAAAAAAACAGCUACAGGCACUCAUGCUAUUAUUUGGGAAGGGCAGGUAUUUUUUAAAUGUACUUUUUUUUCCCCAUAGGAUGCAGAAGAGCAAGAUAUACAAACCCUCUGGUAGAGCCCUGAGAAAGCGAUCUUUAGCCAUGAGGCAAAGAGCAUUCUUUAGUAAAGGAAGGCUGGGAAAUUGUACCUUCUCUGCAUUUGAAAGUCCUGCCUGCAGGCGAGGAGCAGUUUACCAGUGA
This 1206-nucleotide long non-coding RNA is filed under the name Suricata suricatta (meerkat). RNAcentral describes it as "lncRNA (ENSSSUG00005011510.1)". The record is from RNAcentral. Lineage: Eukaryota; Metazoa; Chordata; Mammalia; Carnivora; Herpestidae.